RNAcentral lists this ribosomal RNA (244 nucleotides) under uncultured bacterium. RNAcentral describes it as "partial 16S ribosomal RNA". It matches the Rfam family "Bacterial small subunit ribosomal RNA", at positions 15 to 253 of the family's 1533-position model. The record is from RNAcentral.
GAUCAUGGCUCAGAUUGAACGCUGGCGGCAGGCCUAACACAUGCAAGUCGAACGGUAACAGGAAGAAGCUUGCUUCUUUGCUGACGAGUGGCGGACGGGUGAGUAAUGUCUGGGAAACUGCCUGAUGGAGGGGGAUAACUACUGGAAACGGUAGCUAAUACCGCAUAAUGUCGCAAGACCAAAGAGGGGGGACCUUCGGGCCGUCUUGCCAUCGGAUGUGCCCAGAUGGGACUAGCUAGUAGGG